GAUGAACGCUGGCGGCGUGCUUAACACAUGCAAGUCGAACGAUGAAGCCCAGCUUGCUGGGUGGAUUAGUGGCGAACGGGUGAGUAACACGUGAGUAACCUGCCCUUAACUCUGGGAUAAGCCUGGGAAACUGGGUCUAAUACCGGAUAGGAGCGCCUACCGCAUGGUGGGUGUUGGAAAGAUUUAUCGGUUUUGGAUGGACUCGCGGCCUAUCAGCUUGUUGGUGAGGUAAUGGCUCACCAAGGCGACGACGGGUAGCCGGCCUGAGAGGGUGACCGGCCAAACUGGGACUGAGACACGGCCCAGACUCCUACGGGAGGCAGCAGUGGGGAAUAUUGCACAAUGGGCGCAAGCCUGAUGCAGCGACGCCGCGUGAGGGAUGACGGCCUUCGGGUUGUAAACCUCUUUCAGUAGGGAAGAAGCGAAAGUGACGUUACCUGCAGAAGAAGCACCGGCUAACUACGUG
This 466-nucleotide ribosomal RNA is filed under the name uncultured bacterium. Its description in RNAcentral is "partial 16S ribosomal RNA". It matches the Rfam family "Bacterial small subunit ribosomal RNA", at positions 28 to 507 of the family's 1533-position model. The record is from RNAcentral.